Molecule: transfer RNA, 90 nt
Filed under: Actinomycetes bacterium
Lineage: Bacteria; Bacillati; Actinomycetota; Actinomycetes
Description: tRNA-Ser
Rfam family: tRNA
About the family: Transfer RNA (tRNA) molecules are approximately 80 nucleotides in length. Their secondary structure includes four short double-helical elements and three loops (D, anti-codon, and T loops).
Source: RNAcentral
GGAGAGGUGACCGAGCGGCUUAAGGUGCACGACUGGAAAUCGUGUGGGCGGCGCGAGCUGCCUCGUGGGUUCGAAUCCCACCCUCUCCGC